Long non-coding RNA from Myripristis murdjan (pinecone soldierfish), 1946 nucleotides. RefSeq lists it as uncharacterized. The transcript has 4 exons. The record is from RefSeq and is a predicted model, not a curated record. Lineage: Eukaryota; Metazoa; Chordata; Actinopteri; Holocentriformes; Holocentridae.
UUGAGCGCUUGAAUUCCCCUUUUACUGCUCCAAACUUUCACCGCAUGGCAGAAAAAAGAGGGAAAAGAGGAGGGAAAAAAACAAAACAAAAAAAGAAAAAAAAGCACGUCACAACAGGAAACAGGAACAGGAAACAGACUUGGCAGACUCUGUUAACGCCAGGUGCAGAGUUUGGCUUGACUCUCGCUGCUGCCUGGCUUGUGCAGGCAGGAGGGUGACUGCUGCUGCUAGUGGAGGCCUUUUUCAUCGGCACACGUCUUUAUCAAACCCCUGGGCCUAGUUUGUUCUCCUGUUGCUGGCUCUUGGUGGGUUGCCGCUGUAAAUUAGACUGGAGAUGUGGGGAGCUCCCUGGUGGAUGCUCGCCUGACGACUUCUCGCCGAAGGUCAAGGGAAAUAUCAGCCUCACCCAUACAUUUUUUUUAAUUACAAGUAGCCAGCUUGUAAAAAAACAGGCUCACGAGCUAGGGUGUUACAGUUUCCUCUGGAUGUGUUUUCCUUUACCUUGUCUCCCGUGCAGCUCACUGCUCGCUGUAUGUCUUCUCCGGGCUGCACUGCGCAAGAAUCUUUAAUCACUUUGUGGAUGGAAAAGACGGCCCGUUGUAAGAGUUAAUUCGAUUUAUUUGACCCAUCAGAGGAGGCAUGCUCACUGUGAUGAUUUCUAGUAAGGGGGCCGUUCAUCCUGCUAGACUGUGGUUGGUCAUGCAGCCAUACCUCCAGACCAAUGUCCAGACACGACCUGGCAACCUGCUGCCAGGCUGAGUCCAUUCACUACCCAGCAGCCUCACUGCAUCCACUAGGCCUCUACGAGCUGGCCUCACCUCAUCUGGCAGCCAUUACCUGCACACAUGCUCCUGUCUGAAGGUUGAUCUGCCGGGUUAAACAAAUCCAGGCCGAGCAGCGCGGCCCGCCAGGAAUCAGCUCCAUACAUCAGCUGUGGAACAGCCAACAUGACAGGAGUACAGAAGCGUGUGGUGUGGAAGCUCAAAGCUCUCGCCCACAUCAAGAGAAACCAUCCGGCCUCGCAGCCACAAGCCCUCCCUCUCCUCCCCCCCUCUCAGGCGUAAUAACAGAGCCAUCAAAUAGCCGUAUUUAUAAUCUCCGAACGGGCCAAUUUUAAAGUGGUCAACUCCAGAGGUAUUGGAAUUGUUGAGAGCAAUUUGCGGUUUUCAUUUUUAAAGAGGCACCAUCCCAGUGGCAAAUGAAAUAAAGUCAGUUCCCUUUUUUUUCCAUUUGGCAAUAUGAAAGAUGGGUUCAAUUACAUCUUUGGCUUUAUUCUGAUAUCAUUUCAAAAUGAUUUAUUUAAUUUAGGUUGGGCAAAAAAAUUAUUUUAUUGUAAUUCCGCUCCAUGUUUGUGUGCCACAGAAAUUAUGAGCAUUUAUCAAUUUCUAAAAUAUGAUGAUCAGAUUGCACUGGCUUGGUACAGUAGGUUUUACGUGGUAUAAUUCAUAUGAAAGCAAUUAGAACUUCAGUAGCUCUUUCACGUAUACAGAAUAUGGUUAUAAAUGAAAGCACAACUUCUGUAUUUGUAUCAUUUGUCUGGAGUUUAUUCAUCUCAAAUUAUUCAGUUUAUCACAAAAACAUCCUCAGUAUUUUAUUGAUGUCAUAACACCUACAAGUUUACAAUGUUCAUCAGCGCUGAGACUCUAGUUUUCAGCGAUGGUGGAAGAAAGUGAUUGCAAACAAAUGGCAGCUGGUUUUGCAACACAUUGUGAGCAGGCCCCAGCGGAUCAGCAUACAUGAAUACAUCUCAUCUGGUCAUUACUGUGCAGUUAUGGAGCCAAGCGCUCCUGCCAGUUUCCACCCUCCUGUCACUUGCUGGUAUCUGACACUGAUGAAAAAUGCAGUGUGUUUUGAUCACCGCAACAUUACCAUUCUGUUUUCUCUAUAUGUUGAGAUCAGAUGUCUCCCUACUGUUGAUCUAGAAUGAUAAAUGUAGUGCCGCAGAA